UACGUAGGGUGCGAGCGUUAAUCGGAAUUACUGGGCGUAAAGCGUGCGCAGGCGGUGCUGUAAGACCGAUGGGAAAUCCCCGGGCUUAACCUGGGAACUGCAUUGGUGACUGCAGCGCUGGAGUAUGGCAGAGGGGGGUGGAAUUCCACGUGUAGCAGUGAAAUGCGUAGAGAUGUGGAGGAACACCGAUGGCGAAGGCAGCCCCCUGGGCCAAUACUGACGCUCAUGCACGAAAGCGUGGGGAGCAAACAGG
This 253-nucleotide ribosomal RNA is filed under the name uncultured bacterium. RNAcentral's name for it is "partial 16S ribosomal RNA". It matches the Rfam family "Bacterial small subunit ribosomal RNA", at positions 524 to 776 of the family's 1533-position model. The record is from RNAcentral.